UUAUUUAUCACUUUGCAGCAUGUGCAAAAUGUGUUUUCUCUUGUCUCCCGCUUUCUGGGGCAAUACAGAAUAUUUCCCCAAAAGCUAUGCAGCCCUGAGCCACCUGCCAGAUUCCCAUGUAUUAUAAUAUUUUCGGCCAGCUGCUGUGGUAGCUGUUCAUGCCAAGGGCAAGAAUUCCCCAGCUCUGGUUUUAGCUUUCGCACAGUCCGGAGCCUGCUUUCAGCCAGUGCCGAACUGUGAGCGUAAGGCCUGACUCAGCCAGAGUUAAAAUAAAAGGUCAAACUUCUCAGAGCCCGUAACCAGUUGGUGGAGCCCAGGUAUCGUGCCCUGCUCCGAGUGUCAGUGCGAGGCAUCCCCUUCCCCUCUGCUUUAGUGCUCAAUCCCAGUCCCUUACUGGGGGCCUUCUGGGCAGAAUAGCACAUAUAUAGGCAUAAUGAUCCCAGAGGAGAUUUUUGGCAGCAAAUACUGACGUGGCUGAUUGCUGGGAGCUGGUGUUGUACCUCUGGCUGGGCUACCCUUAACCCCAGCUCUGCCAGGGACAUGCUGCUGAACUGGGUGAGCCAGAAGGAAAGGUUGUGCUCAGUCACUGAAAAAGUCCAAGUGGAGAAGAGGACAUCUGGGAACAAGUGACUUCGUGCCACUUGUAACUGGUAGCUGGAGAGGCUUUGGUGUUAUAGAGCUGGGUCCCAUCAACACAGCUGGGAGCCAUGAAGGGGAAAUGCUAAAGAGACCUUUCCAUCUCAGUAGAUCUCCCUCAACAUUCUCCAGGUUGAGCUCUUUGCCACAUCUUUGGUAGCUGUGGAGACAUCCUUUCUCAAGAAGCAGUGCAGGGCGAGGGGAGGUUGAGCACUUAUACUGCAAACACUAAUGGUGUCUUUCUUCUUUGUGGGUAUGUUAAUCCAAACAACUUAUUAAAGAGCUGAGCCAGUUCUCACAUA
Tyto alba (common barn owl) is the source of this 938-nucleotide long non-coding RNA. RefSeq lists it as uncharacterized. The transcript is spliced from 3 exons. Lineage: Eukaryota; Metazoa; Chordata; Aves; Strigiformes; Tytonidae. The record is from RefSeq and is a predicted model, not a curated record.